RNAcentral lists this ribosomal RNA (393 nucleotides) under uncultured bacterium. Its description in RNAcentral is "partial 16S ribosomal RNA". It matches the Rfam family "Bacterial small subunit ribosomal RNA", at positions 523 to 918 of the family's 1533-position model. The record is from RNAcentral.
AUACGGAGGAUCCGAGCGUUAUCCGGAUUUAUUGGGUUUAAAGGGAGCGUAGGCGGGAGAUCAAGUCAGCUGUGAAAUGUAGAUGCUCAACAUCUGCACUGCAGUUGAAACUGGUUUUCUUGAGUGCGUAAGGGGCAGGCGGAAUUCGUCGUGUAGCGGUGAAAUGCUUAGAUAUGACGAAGAACUCCGAUCGCGAAGGCAGCCUGCCGGGCCGCGACUGACGCUGAAGCUCGAAGGUGCGGGUAUCGAACAGGAUUAGAUACCCUGGUAGUCCGCACGGUAAACGAUGAUUACCCGCUGUCGGCGGUAGACAGUCGGCGGCCAAGCGAAAGCGAUAAGUAAUCCACCUGGGGAGUACGCCGGCAACGGUGAAACUCAAAGGAAUUGACGGGG